UGUAUUUGUGGGUGUCUCUUGGUUCGGUGUCUGUGGCUCCCUUGGUCCUCUUCCUCCCCCUCCCCCGACGUGCCUAGUUUAAAGGCCGCCGGAGGAAAUCAGCCAACCUGGAAGAGAACACACACGUACCUUUUGGGGAGCAGUGAAGCCCAUCCCACCCGAGCAUGUCUCUUGUCCUGAAGUGAGGGUCGUGGUCCAGAAAGCCGAAGCCCGCCGCAAGACACCAUUCCCAAAGCUGCAAGUUGAGGUCCCAGAUGCAGGUCUCAUGGCAUCUUCCAUGCCCGCUCACUGGAAGGAUCGAUGAGAAGACCACCUGUGCCCCUAUCUCCUUCAGCUUGUCCCCCAGUGCUUGGCAGGAAAACACAUCCGGAGGAGAGAAGA
Molecule: long non-coding RNA, 381 nt
Organism: Gavialis gangeticus (Gharial)
Lineage: Eukaryota; Metazoa; Chordata; Crocodylia; Gavialidae
Exons: 4
Source: RefSeq, a predicted model, not a curated record